This 73-nucleotide transfer RNA is filed under the name Paramuricea clavata. It matches the Rfam family "tRNA". Rfam says of the family: Transfer RNA (tRNA) molecules are approximately 80 nucleotides in length. Lineage: Eukaryota; Metazoa; Cnidaria; Anthozoa; Malacalcyonacea; Plexauridae. The record is from Rfam by way of RNAcentral.
GACCGCGUAGCUCAGUUGGCAGAGCAUUGGGCUAGUAUUCCAAAGAUCGUAGGUUCGACUUCCACCGUGGCCA